GCCGAUGUAGCUCAGUUGGUAGAGCAGCGGUUUUGUAAACCGCGGGUCGGGGGUUCAAUUCCUCUCGUCGGCU
Molecule: transfer RNA, 73 nt
Filed under: Candidatus Omnitrophota bacterium
Lineage: Bacteria; Pseudomonadati; Candidatus Omnitrophota
Description: Candidatus Omnitrophica bacterium (sediment metagenome) tRNA-Thr
Rfam family: tRNA
About the family: Transfer RNA (tRNA) molecules are approximately 80 nucleotides in length. Their secondary structure includes four short double-helical elements and three loops (D, anti-codon, and T loops). Further hydrogen bonds mediate the characteristic L-shaped molecular structure. tRNAs have two regions of fundamental functional importance: the anti-codon, which is responsible for specific mRNA codon recognition, and the 3' end, to which the tRNAs corresponding amino acid is attached (by aminoacyl-tRNA synthetases). tRNAs cope with the degeneracy of the genetic code in two manners: having more than one tRNA (with a specific anti-codon) for a particular amino acid; and 'wobble' base-pairing, i.e. permitting non-standard base-pairing at the 3rd anti-codon position.
Source: RNAcentral